AUACGGAGGAUCCGAGCGUUAUCCGGAUUUAUUGGGUUUAAAGGGUGCGCAGGCGGGAGAUUAAGUCGGCGGUGAAAUUUUGCAGCUCAACUGUAAAAGUGCCUUUGAAACUGGUUUCCUUGAGUGUAGAUGAAGUAGGCGGAAUUUGUGGUGUAGCGGGGAAAUGCAUAGAUAUCACGAGGAACUCCGAUUGCGCAGGCAGCUUACUAAACUACUACUGACGCUCAGGCACGAAGGCGUGGGGAUCAAACAGGAUUAGAUACCCUGGUAGUCCACGCAGUAAACGAUGAUUACUAGCUGUUUGCGAUACAAUGUAAGCGGCUGAGCGAAAGCGUUAAGUAAUCCACCUGGGGAGUACGUUCGCAAGAAUGAAACUCAAAUGAAUUGGCGGGG
Molecule: ribosomal RNA, 393 nt
Filed under: uncultured bacterium
Lineage: Bacteria
Description: partial 16S ribosomal RNA
Rfam family: Bacterial small subunit ribosomal RNA
Source: RNAcentral